AUUGAACGCUGGCGGCAUGCCUUACACAUGCAAGUCGAACGGUAACAGGUCUUCGGAUGCUGACGAGUGGCGAACGGGUGAGUAAUACAUCGGAACGUGCCUAGUAGUGGGGGAUAACUACUCGAAGGAGUGGCUAAUACCGCCUGAGAUCUACGGAUGAAAGCAGGGGAUCGCAAGAACUUGUGCUACUAGAGCGGCCGAUGGCAGAUUAGGUAGUUGGUGGGAUAAAAGCUUACCAAGCCGACGAUCUGUAGCUGGUCUGAGAGGACGAUCAGCCACACUGGGACUGAGACACGGCCCAGACUCCUACGGGAGGCAGCAGUGGGGAAUUUUGGACAAUGGGCGAAAGCCUGAUCCAGCAAUGCCGCGUGCAGGAUGAAGGCCUUCGGGUUGUAAACUGCUUUUGUACGGAACGAAAAGCCCCGGGUUAAUACCCUGGGGUCAUGACGGUACCGUAAGAAUAAGCACCGGCUAACUACGUGCCAGCCGCCGCCGUAA
This 498-nucleotide ribosomal RNA is filed under the name uncultured bacterium. RNAcentral's name for it is "partial 16S ribosomal RNA". It matches the Rfam family "Bacterial small subunit ribosomal RNA", at positions 30 to 523 of the family's 1533-position model. The record is from RNAcentral.